AGCGAACGCUGGCGGCAGGCCUAACACAUGCAAGUCGAACGAACCUUUCGGGGUUAGUGGCGGACGGGUGAGUAACACGUGGGAACGUGCCUUUAGGUUCGGCAUAACUCAGGGAAACUUGUGCUAAUACCGAAUGUGCCCUUCGGGGGAAAGAUUUAUCGCCUUUAGAGCGGCCCGCGUCUGAUUAGCUAGUUGGUUGAGGUAAUGGCUCACCAAGGCGACGAUCAGUAGCUGGUCUGAGAGGAUGAUCAGCCACAUUGGGACUGAGACACGGCCCAAACUCCUACGGGAGGCAGCAGUGGGGAAUCUUGCGCAAUGGGCGAAAGCCUGACGCAGCCAUGCCGCGUGAAUGAUGAAGGUCUUAGGAUUGUAAAAUUCUUUCACCGGGGACGAUAAUGACGGUACCCGGAGAAGAAGCCCCGGCUAACUUCGUG
This 434-nucleotide ribosomal RNA is filed under the name uncultured bacterium. RNAcentral describes it as "partial 16S ribosomal RNA". It matches the Rfam family "Bacterial small subunit ribosomal RNA", at positions 29 to 507 of the family's 1533-position model. The record is from RNAcentral.